GAGACGGGUUAGCUCAGUUGGUAGAGCGCCACACUUCCGUGGAGGUCGUCGGUUCGAAUCCGAUACAGUCUCU
Molecule: transfer RNA, 73 nt
Filed under: Bacteroides thetaiotaomicron
Lineage: Bacteria; Pseudomonadati; Bacteroidota; Bacteroidia; Bacteroidales; Bacteroidaceae
Also listed under: 10 other names
Description: tRNA-OTHER
Rfam family: tRNA
About the family: Transfer RNA (tRNA) molecules are approximately 80 nucleotides in length. Their secondary structure includes four short double-helical elements and three loops (D, anti-codon, and T loops).
Source: RNAcentral